Molecule: ribosomal RNA, 778 nt
Filed under: Arthrobacter psychrolactophilus
Lineage: Bacteria; Bacillati; Actinomycetota; Actinomycetes; Micrococcales; Micrococcaceae
Description: bacterial SSU rRNA
Rfam family: Bacterial small subunit ribosomal RNA
Source: RNAcentral
CGUGCUUAACACAUGCAAGUCGAACGAUGAACCUCGCUUGCGGGGGGAUUAGUGGCGAACGGGUGAGUAACACGUGAGUAACCUGCCCUUAACUCUGGGAUAAGCCUGGGAAACUGGGUCUAAUACUGGAUAUUGACUUUACCUCGCAUGGGGUUUGGUUGAAAGCUUUUGUGGUUUUGGAUGGACUCGCGGCCUAUCAGCUUGUUGGUGAGGUAAUGGCUCACCAAGGCGACGACGGGUAGCCGGCCUGAGAGGGUGACCGGCCACACUGGGACUGAGACACGGCCCAGACUCCUACGGGAGGCAGCAGUGGGGAAUAUUGCACAAUGGGCGAAAGCCUGAUGCAGCGACGCCGCGUGAGGGAUGACGGCCUUCGGGUUGUAAACCUCUUUCAGUAGGGAACAAGGCUACACGUUGUGUGGUUGAGGGUACCUGCAGAAGAAGCGCCGGCUAACUACGUGCCAGCAGCCGCGGUAAUACGUAGGGCGCAAGCGUUAUCCGGAAUUAUUGGGCGUAAAGAGCUCGUAGGCGGUUUGUCGCGUCUGCCGUGAAAGUCCGGGGCUCAACCCCGGAUCUGCGGUGGGUACGGGCAGACUAGAGUGAUGUAGGGGAGACUGGAAUUCCUGGUGUAGCGGUGAAAUGCGCAGAUAUCAGGAGGAACACCGAUGGCGAAGGCAGGUCUCUGGGCAUUAACUGACGCUGAGGAGCGAAAGCAUGGGGAGCGAACAGGAUUAGAUACCCUGGUAGUCCAUGCCGUAAACGUUGGGCACUAGGUGUG